AGCCUUCUGUAUUCGUGCUGAGAUUUCGUCACACAUCAGACCACAAGGGCUGAUAAGACUCCCAACAUAAGUGAAUUG
RNAcentral lists this microRNA precursor (78 nucleotides) under Schistosoma bovis. RNAcentral describes it as "mir-3492 microRNA precursor family". It matches the Rfam family "mir-3492 microRNA precursor family". RNAcentral also lists the same sequence under 1 other name. Lineage: Eukaryota; Metazoa; Platyhelminthes; Trematoda; Strigeidida; Schistosomatidae. The record is from Rfam by way of RNAcentral.